UGUCCUUCUCCACCAGCACCUGUUUGCGUAUAUAUAAAUUUGUCCUGUUGCACGUGCUCGCAUCGGUCGCCAUUUUAUUAUAUCAAAACGCGAGUCGCGAUUAUAAUCGGGAUUGGACGAAAGUAUCCCUCUGGAUCCAUCCGUUGCGCAGACGUUUACGGGGGGAAGCUCCCGAAGGAUCGCGCCAGCCAAAGAUGGAGGACUGUUCACAUCUUACCGGGCAGCAUUAGAUUGAAUUUGAAUUUCUAAUACUGUCAGGUAAAGAUGUCGUCCGGCCUCCCAAAACUACACAAUUACGCCCGGCCAGAAAGAGAGAGAGGGAGGAGGUAUGCGCGGGUUAAAUUCGGCUAUUGUAUGCAAGAGUUGUAGGCGGCGCUUGCCAAGACCGAUUUACACCGUCGUCGGAAAACAGCGAGGAAUUUUGUUUUGUCUAGGAAAAUUUUGAGAAAUUCACUCCCGAAGAUGCUAGAUACAACGACGCGUGCCUAUGACGGAAUCAUAUACAUAUUUAUCUUGUCAUUACGUCAUUGCUGAUUAAUUACGGCGGCGAAGGAAUGUGCGUGUGAUUAAACAGACUAUUCCUCUGUACAAGAAAACAGGAGUGGACUAGCCGAACAUUGAUAAUGUGGGUCCUGACGUUUCAUAUUUCAUUUUGCGAACUUUCAAGAAAAGUACAAAUUUUUAUAAUAUCACUGUAUAUAUUACACAAUAUGAGCUUAAUUGUAGCAUUAUUCGCCCGCAGUGAAGUAAGCAGCACUAGCAACGAUUAAUAAUUAUAUUAAUUGUACAGGGUGUGUCAACGAGAUGUGCAUACUUUUAUGUAAAACUAGCUCCCUCUUCAAAAAUGUCAUUUGGGCGUUGCCCUCAAUUCUUUCAGCAGCUCUAAACCUUACUGUAGAUUUCAAUUGGUUUUUUGGUUACGUAAAAAUGGGAUGUAAAUUUUUUUCCCGCCAUUUUGUUUAGAUGGUCAGUGACGUAGCCAAGGGUGUCCACGCUAAAUAAAUCGCUUAAUAUGGGGCUCGAAGUAAGGUGAAUUAGGCUCCGCGUAAGCGCCUUCUGUGAUCGGGCAAAGAUAAAGCGUGGUAAGUUUCUUUUAGCGUUUCUGUGAUCCUGAUACUGGUUUAAGAUUUUUGAAAUAGUAGUGGAGAAGAUCUUAAUGUGAGCUGAGAUGCCAAAGAGAAUCCCUUUCCGCAUUACUGUCAACCGCAUAUAGUUUAAAAGAUAAGUUUGUAUUAGGAGAACAUAAUACGUGAGAAUGUUUGUUAAUAAAUUUUUUAACUUGUGA
Long non-coding RNA from Photinus pyralis (common eastern firefly), 1285 nucleotides. RefSeq lists it as uncharacterized. The record is from RefSeq and is a predicted model, not a curated record. The transcript has 2 exons. NCBI's taxonomy places the organism in Eukaryota, Metazoa, Arthropoda, Insecta, Coleoptera, Lampyridae.